RNAcentral lists this long non-coding RNA (1191 nucleotides) under Gallus gallus (chicken). RNAcentral describes it as "lncRNA (ENSGALG00010017844.1)". Lineage: Eukaryota; Metazoa; Chordata; Aves; Galliformes; Phasianidae. The record is from RNAcentral.
GUUGUGUGGGAUUGAGAGGAGCUGAGGUUAAAGAAUCUGAUGGGUUGGAUGAUGGUGAUUAUUUUAUUCCUGACAAUUCCAAAAUGUGUCUCUGACUGUUGCAGUGAAGCUGCCCUGCGCUGCAGGACGAGCUGUUCCUGGGAGGCCUCCAGCCCACGCACACGAGGGCUGAGCUGGUGAGAUCAGAAAGAUACUCCUGAUCAACAGCAGAUGCCUCCUCUCUGCUUACGUAAGGCACUGGUGUUUAUGGAUUUGAGCUGGAUCUUUGUAUAACGCUGGAGUCCCUGUAGUCAGCCCUCCUUUCAGGGCAGAUCCCCGCCUGUUUUUUCUCUCCAUCAUCCCAUACCGCAGCCCCCAUCCAUGCACGGCAGCAGGGUCAGCGCUGCGUCCAGCUGCCAGCCCGGACUGCCUCUCUCAGAGAGCUCCUAUGCUGACACCUGGUGGAAAUGCCUCGAAAUGCCCUCGCGGAGCUCUGCGCUGUGCUGAAGCCACCCUUGGCUCGUUCAGCUCCUGCUCUGUCCCAGCCAGGCGGCUGCCUCUGCUCCCAGGGCACCCUGGCAAAGCCAGCAGUACCGCUGGUUUACUCCUCCACCACACAGCUGUGCGUGCGUUUACACCUGGAUUCCUUCUUCCGUAACUCAGACGGUAGUUCUGUGUCUGCAGGGAGAUGCUGAGGUGUAGUUCACUUCAUUUUGUUUUCACAUUUACCCGAGGCUCUAAAAAGAGGGAGGGUCUCUGCAGCUUGAAUGAGCCCUCUGUGGUUGCAAGAUGAGGAAGCUCCCCCUGCACAUCCAUCCCUGCAGCAAGAGGGAGCAUAAGCAAACAGCACAAAGCUUCACAUCUGUGCCCAGUGCAGGUCUGUUACAGGGUGUAUUUGGGAUGAUGGCACCAGUCAUGGAUGUGAGCAGGAAAAGGGCCUUUCUGUAUCCCCCACACAUCCAGAAAGGGACAGAUUGCUGCUGAAUUUCAGAGUUAUCCCUGCUGCUGUUGUUAAAAGUUCAAGCUCUUUCUGCUGCCGCCUUUUGCAGCCUUCUAUUCGUAGUGCUAAACUACUUCAUUGGCAUGAGGGCCUUUCAUAGAAAGUCACCUUACUUUCUGAAGGGGUUACUGGGACAAAAUAGGGAAGUGUGUUAAAGAAAGACAGAGGAAACCUCUCAGGGCCUCGGGCAGAAAUAAAUCCCAGUGCUGCAC